This is an unclassified non-coding RNA of Papio anubis (olive baboon), 148 nucleotides long. It matches the Rfam family "Metazoan signal recognition particle RNA". Rfam says of the family: The signal recognition particle (SRP) is a universally conserved ribonucleoprotein. It is involved in the co-translational targeting of proteins to membranes. The eukaryotic SRP consists of a 300-nucleotide 7S RNA and six proteins: SRPs 72, 68, 54, 19, 14, and 9. The record is from Ensembl. NCBI's taxonomy places the organism in Eukaryota, Metazoa, Chordata, Mammalia, Primates, Cercopithecidae.
GCUGGGCAUGGUGGUGCAUGCCUGUAAUCCCAGCUACUCAGGAGGCUGAGGCAGGAGAAUCACUUGAACCCAGGAGGUGGAGGUCGCAGUGAGCUGAGGUCGCACCACUGCACUCCAGCCUGGGCAACAGAGCGAGACUCUGUCUCAA